GUGAGGAAUUUUCCGCAAUGGGCGAAAGCCUGACGGAGCAAUGCCGCGUGAAGGAUGAAGGCCUAUGGGUUGUAAACUUCUUUUCUCAGAAAAGAAUUAUGACGGUAUCUGAGGAAUAAGUAUCGGCUAACUCUGUGCCAGCAGCCGCGGUAAGACAGAGGAUGCAAGCGUUAUCCGGAAUGAUUGGGCGUAAAGCGUCUGUAGGUUGUUUAAAAAGUAUUCUGUCAAAGAUUAGGGCUUAACCCUAGAUAGGCAGAAUAAACUUUUAAGCUAGAGUUUGGUAGAGGCAGAGGGAAUUCCCGGUGGAGCGGUGAAAUGCGUAGAUAUCGGGAGGAACACCAAAGGCGAAGGCACUCUGCUGGGCCAAUACUAACACUGAGAGACGAAAGCGAGGGGAGCAAAUGGGAUUAGAUACCCGUGUAGUCC
This 426-nucleotide ribosomal RNA is filed under the name uncultured bacterium. RNAcentral describes it as "bacterial SSU rRNA". It matches the Rfam family "Bacterial small subunit ribosomal RNA", at positions 354 to 796 of the family's 1533-position model. The record is from RNAcentral.